Molecule: long non-coding RNA, 2495 nt
Organism: Macadamia integrifolia
Lineage: Eukaryota; Viridiplantae; Streptophyta; Magnoliopsida; Proteales; Proteaceae
Exons: 2
Source: RefSeq, a predicted model, not a curated record
ACUUCACGUAAGGCGGAGCACUGCCUUACCAUCUCUAGACCACAUCAGACGCCUUACCAGUGCCUUAAAAACUAUGUAUAGGGUUGCAUGGAAGGAGUAUCUACAUCGAACAUGCUGCGGCAUGGUUAUUGAUGAAUGUGUAAUAUUUCCUUUGCUAUUGUAGCAAUUCAUUCAGACUUGCUAUCUAUAUUUGGUGAAUGAAUUGUUCUUAUUUUGCUCAGCUUUUCCUUUUUGAGACCGAAAUGCCAUUAUCAAAUUAUUUUGUACAUUAGAAGGCAUGUGCCUUAAAGAACCCUUCAAAGAGCUUGUUGAGAUUCUUUUCAAGCCAAGGCUUAUAUAUGCAAAGCACAUGAUGCAUAUUAGUCAGCAAUGGAAAGCUGGAACCAGUGUGCUUUAUACAACAUUAAGACAUAGUAAACUAUUUCUUGCCUUUUUAAUUCUGAAUUUGUUGGAAAAGGCACUUAAGUUGUUAUGUAUUACAACAAAAACAAACUCAGCCUCAUCUCAACUUAAUGGGUCGACUACAUGGUUUCGUGCAAAAACAAAAAGGAUUAAUAUAAGUAACAUGAAAGUAAAAAAGAAAGAAACCCAACAAAAAUUAAGGAAAAUCUCAACUAAGUGAGGUCGACUACAUGUAUUCCCUUUCAAAAAUAUCUCUUAAGGUAUAUGCCAUGUCUUUAUUUCUUGUCUUUAGCUUUUUUCAUGUUUGUACAUUAUAUAUUUUCAGCAGUAUUUAUUUACUUUUGAGGAAAUGCUUCGGAGGCUUAUGUUCUAUGUAUUGAGCCUUGUGCCUUGAACAUUUGCCAAGUCGAGUCACAACUUAAGCCUUUGAAAAUAUUGGAUGAUAUCUUAGCUACCACCACCACCACAUGAUAUUCUUUCUUGCUGAAACCACAUGAAAAUUUUGUUUCUUUAUGAUGAUAUGCAUCUGUGGCUUUCUUCGCAAUACAUGUAAAGCUGUGUGGAUUGUGUCGUCAUAUUUCACACAUUUGGUGCAUAAGGUAGCCACCUUUGAGCAUUCCAUGUGUUUGCAACCUUAACAUAUCUUCAUGUGUGGCGACAUUGCACACCAGCACUUAAGGUAUGAUGGUUGUUUUGAUGGGGAAAAGGCUUAAUAUAAUACAGUGUUACAGGUCACUAGAGUUGGUUAUUGCAUGAAAAAAGAUCUCAAUUAGAUAUUUUUAACUGAGGGGUGUGAUGAAGCUGUAAAUGUCACUUCAACAACUGGGGAAGAUGACUUCUUUUAAUGACAUAUGUACUAGAAAAGUAUAGGUUUGACCUUAAUGUAUUUCUAUUAUUUGAUAACAUCUGGGCAUUGUGAAGGAGAUCCUAUUCUUAUCAAACAAAAGGAGUCCUCAUGAAUUUGUUGUUUAUAGAUGAAGUAGUUUUGAUUGGAAAGACGGUUAUAGUAUUAGUCGGAGCAGAAGCGAGGGCAUGGUUAAGAAAUGAUGAACAAGAGAUGCUUAAUGAGAACCUUUUUUUUCUUGUUUGUUAUACCACUUCUCAACUUUUCUUCAAAAAAGUACAUACCCAUUUUCUCUUUAUAUGGUCUAUGAGGGUCAUGAUAUGUUCAUUAUUUUAUCAAAUAUUUACUCCAGGUUUCUCCAAAGAUCCCUCCAUAGUUUUUCAUUCCUUUAGUGUUGUAAAUUAUGUGUCAUUUUGGUUGGUUUAAAUAGUUAAAAAAAAAAAAAGGACAAACUCGUUGACGCUUUUUCACAUAGUUUUUCUCUUUUUGAUCCUCAUUUCUUUUAUCUCUUUUACUGUUUCAGAAAUUAUGUCGUUCAAUUUGUCUUAGAGCUAAAGAUCCCAACCGCCACUUCCUACUUAAUUUCUCAAUUUGAAGGGAACUAUGUGCACCUGUCAACACAAAAGUUUAGCAGCAAUGUUGUUGAAAAGUGUCUCAAAGUUUUUGGAGAGGAUAACCGAUCAAGGAUCGUCCAUGAAUUUCUAUCUUAUCCACACUUUGAACAGUUGUUGCAAGACCCUUUUGCAAAUUAUGUGAUUCAAUCUGCUCUUGGAGUUACUAAGGGUCCUCUCCAUGCUUCAUUGGUGGAAGCCAUCCGUCCCCAUGCAGCAAUUUUGCGCACCAGCCCGUAUUGCAAGCGUAUUUUCUCACGCACACUUUUGAAGAAAUGAUGUACAUUCUCCCCAUGGUAAGGGGCAUCGUUGUGCUUCACUAUCAGUACUACUCUAUAACUAUCGGAUUUAGGAACUGCAGCCAUAAGAGUCUCUUGCUGGUUAUUCUUUGCAGGAUUGGAUGGCUCAAGUUGAUUAGAUAUGGUUUCCAUGAUUUCUGUAUAGUGUAAAAGAUAAGAAUUUUUGCUUCUAGUUCAUAAAUGUGGACAUUGAUAUGUAUUAUUGUCAUGGAAAUUAAAUUUUGAAUAUUUUUAUCUUCUAACAAUGGAAUAGUUGUUCUAUGACAUUGUAAAUGGAGUUGUCUACCCACCAUUUUUUUUAUGAAUUCAGUCUAGUUACCAUCUCCUAUUUAUAUUGAA